CGGGGCUAAACAUAUUACCGAAACUGUGGAUGAACCUCUUUAGAGGUUCGUGGUAGGAGAGCGUUCUAAGGGCGGUGAAGUCAGACCGGAAGGACUGGUGGAGCGCUUAGAAGUGAGAAUGCCGGUAUGAGUAGCGAAAGAAGGGUGAGAAUCCCUUCCACCGAAUAUCUAAGGUUUCCUGAGGAAGGCUCGUCCGCUCAGGGUUAGUCGGGACCUAAGCCGAGGCCGAUAGGCGUAGGCGAUGGACAACAGGUAGAGAUUCCUGUACCAGUGCUAAUUGUUUAACCGAUGGGGUGACACAGAAGGAUAGGGAAUCGCACGAAUGGAAAUGUGCGUCCAAGCAGUGAGUGUGAGAAGUAGGCAAAUCCGCUUCUCGCGAAGCAUGAGCUGUGAUGGGGAAGGAAAUUAAGUACGGAAGUUCCUGAUUUCACGCUGUCAAGAAAAGCCUCUAGGAAGAGUAGUACUGCCCGUACCGCAAACCGACACAGGUAGAUGAGGAGAGAAUCCUAAGGUGAGCGAGAGAACUCUCGUUAAGGAACUCGGCAAAAUGACCCCGUAACUUCGGGAGAAGGGGUGCUCUAUUAGGGUGCAAGCCCGAGAGAGCCGCAGUGAAUAGGCCCAGGCGACUGUUUAGCAAAAACACAGGUCUCUGCAAAACCGUAAGGUGACGUAUAGGGGCUGACGCCUGCCCGGUGCUGGAAGGUUAAGAGGAGUGCUUAGCUUCGGCGAAGGUACGAAUUGAAGCCCCAGUAAACGGCGGCCGUAACUAUAACGGUCCUAAGGUAGCGAAAUUCCUUGUCGGGUAAGUUCCGACCCGCACGAAAGGCGCAACGAUCUGGGCACUGUCUCAACGAGAGACUCGGUGAAAUUAUAGUACCUGUGAAGAUGCAGGUUACCCGCGACAGGACGGAAAGACCCCGUGGAGCUUUACUGCAACCUGAUAUGGAAUGUUUGUACCGCUUGUACAGGAUAGGUAGGAGCCGAAGAGACGUGUGCGCUAGCAUACGAGGAGGCAAUGGUGGGAUACUACCCUGGCUGUAUGACCAUUCUAACCCGCCACGCUUAGCGCGUGGGGAGACAGUGUCAGGUGGGCAGUUUGACUGGGGCGGUCGCCUCCUAAAGAGUAACGGAGGCGCCCAAAGGUUCCCUCAGAAUGGAUGGAAAUCA
Molecule: ribosomal RNA, 1167 nt
Filed under: Listeria monocytogenes
Lineage: Bacteria; Bacillati; Bacillota; Bacilli; Caryophanales; Listeriaceae
Description: bacterial LSU rRNA
Rfam family: Bacterial large subunit ribosomal RNA
Source: RNAcentral